UAAGGAAUAUUGGUCAAUGGACGCAAGUCUGAACCAGCCAUGCCGCGUGGAGGAUGAAGGCCCUCUGGGUUGUAAACUUCUUUUAUUUGGGACGAAACACUUCUUUUCUAAGGAGCUUGACGGUACCAGAUGAAUAAGCACCGGCUAACUCCGUGCCAGCAGCCGCGGUAAUACGGAGGGUGCAAGCGUUAUCCGGAUUCACUGGGUUUAAAGGGUGCGUAGGCGGACAUGUAAGUCCGUGGUGAAAUCUCUAAGCUUAACUUGGAAACUGCCAUGGAUACUAUAUGUCUUGAAUGUUGUGGAGGUUAGCGGAAUAUGUCAUGUAGCGGUGAAAUGCAUAGAUAUGACAUAGAACACCAAUUGCGAAGGCAGCUGGCUACACAAAUAUUGACGCUGAGGCACGAAAGCGUGGGGAUCAAACA
RNAcentral lists this ribosomal RNA (422 nucleotides) under uncultured Chitinophaga sp. Its description in RNAcentral is "bacterial SSU rRNA". It matches the Rfam family "Bacterial small subunit ribosomal RNA", at positions 355 to 774 of the family's 1533-position model. The record is from RNAcentral. Lineage: Bacteria; Pseudomonadati; Bacteroidota; Chitinophagia; Chitinophagales; Chitinophagaceae.